UUAUUGUCAAUUUUUCUUCUUUCUUUUUCCAACUUAAUGGAUUAGAGUUGUCAGAUUCUGUCUAUUUGAUUCUAGGUGCUUGAAUUUGAUUGCAGUGAAUUUGGCUAGUUUUGCUUAUUGGACUCCAGGGAGCGAAGUGAUGAGGCAAAUUUAUACUUCACAUUAUCGCUGCUGAAUGCUUGAUUACUAGCUGGGAAUCUUUCUUGCCUACCACCCUUUGCAAAGUAUCCGAUGAAAGCUGAAGUUAAUAUGGACAUGUUCUUAUGUUAUUUAUGCAGUAAUGUUGAAUUUGGCUCGACAUCAAAUCGUCAGAAAGAACCUUGGGAUAGAGAUGUUUCUUUGUUGUAUUCUCCAUGUUGAAUUUUAUCCUUUCGAGUCGCUAUCUCAUAUAUUACAACCUCCACAAUUCUCUCCCGUCUCGUUAGCGAUUGCAGGUGAAAAUGUUAUGACACAGCAUAACAAGGUAAGGGCCUCUGAUCAUUCAUUUGAGACGAUGGAAUUACAUUCAGUUUCUGGUAACUUUUGGGAAACGGAGUACCUUUGCGUGUUAUUAGUUUAAAUUGAUUAUUCCCCAGUUUUGAUAGUAUCAACAGGUUAUUUACAUCUCAACUUAAUAACCAUCUCUUGCAUACUGCAUUUUCCUUGUAGGAUUUCACCCCAUCAUCCAUGGCUACUGGCCACCGACAGUCACCUUUAUUUUACUCUAAUGUAUAUAUUUGGUGAUCUCGUUUUGCUAGAAAAUUGGUCUCUCAAUGAGAUAAAUCAUCAUUAGCUUUGCUUUGAAUUGCAUUCGAUGGCUCUAGAAGCUUAUUUGAUUUACGAAGUACUUUUACUGUUUA
Molecule: long non-coding RNA, 839 nt
Organism: Mercurialis annua (annual mercury)
Lineage: Eukaryota; Viridiplantae; Streptophyta; Magnoliopsida; Malpighiales; Euphorbiaceae
Exons: 2
Source: RefSeq, a predicted model, not a curated record